Molecule: unclassified non-coding RNA, 246 nt
Filed under: Hevea brasiliensis (rubber tree)
Lineage: Eukaryota; Viridiplantae; Streptophyta; Magnoliopsida; Malpighiales; Euphorbiaceae
Source: RNAcentral
AGGUCCUCAACUCCUCAUCAAUAUCCAAAACUUGUAAAUCCUUUGAUACUACUUCCUCCAAGUCAUCUUAGGCUUCUCUCUUCCCCUUCUCACACCUUCCCCUCUCACUCCUCUUACUAGUUUAUUACACUUCCGCAUUGGGGUAUUUAAUUCUUUGCAUUGUAUAUGACCAAACCAUCUUAAAUGACCCUCUCUCAUUUUAUCUCCAAUAUGUGCUACAUUCAAUUUUUGGCGAAUGUGGUUUGC